This 278-nucleotide long non-coding RNA is filed under the name Homo sapiens (human). RNAcentral's name for it is "non-protein coding lnc-MSX2-7:1". The record is from RNAcentral. Lineage: Eukaryota; Metazoa; Chordata; Mammalia; Primates; Hominidae.
UCAACAGACACAGAUGUUUCCCUUUCUUCAUAUAAUGAAGAUCAGGGAUCCAAACUUAUUUGAAGAGCCAAAGAGGCCCAUUCGUACCCAUUGGAAUGGCAGGUGUUGCAGCAAUUGUUGCAUAUGGAUUAUACAAAUUGAAGAGCAGGGGAAAUGCUAAAAUGUCCCUUCAUCCGAUCCACAUGCGUGUGGCAGCCCAAGGCUGUGUUGCAGGAGCAAUGACUGUUGUUAUGGGCUAUUCCAUGUAUCAGGAAUUCUGGGCAAAACCUAAGCCUUAA